This 293-nucleotide ribosomal RNA is filed under the name uncultured bacterium. Its description in RNAcentral is "partial 16S ribosomal RNA". It matches the Rfam family "Bacterial small subunit ribosomal RNA", at positions 775 to 1067 of the family's 1533-position model. The record is from RNAcentral.
GGAUUAGAUACCCUGGUAGUCCACGCCGUAAACGAUGUCAACUAGGUGUCGGGCAGAUCUACUGUUCGGUGCCGUAGCUAACGCGUUAAGUUGACCGCCUGGGGAGUACGGCCGCAAGGUUGAAACUCAAAGGAAUUGACGGGGGCCCGCACAAGCGGUGGAGCAUGUGGUUUAAUUCGAUGCAACGCGAAGAACCUUACCAGCUCUUGACAUACAGAGAACUUUCUAGAGAUAGAUUGGUGCCUUCGGGAACUCUGAUACAGGUGCUGCAUGGCUGUCGUCAGCUCGUGCCG